This 497-nucleotide ribosomal RNA is filed under the name uncultured bacterium. RNAcentral's name for it is "partial 16S ribosomal RNA". It matches the Rfam family "Bacterial small subunit ribosomal RNA", at positions 36 to 507 of the family's 1533-position model. The record is from RNAcentral.
UCUUCCCUCUUUCUUCGUGCCUAAUACAUGCAAGUCGAGCGAACGGACGAGAAGCUUGCUUUUCUGAUGUUAGCGGCGGACGGGUGAGUAACACGUGGAUAACCUACCUAUAAGACUGGGAUAACUUCGGGAAACCGGAGCUAAUACCGGAUAAUAUUUUGAACCGCAUGGUUCAUAAGUGAAAGACGGUCUUGCUGUCACUUAUAGAUGGAUCCGCGCUGCAUUAGCUAGUUGGUAAGGUAACGGCUUACCAAGGCAACGAUGCAUAGCCGACCUGAGAGGGUGAUCGGCCACACUGGAACUGAGACACGGUCCAGACUCCUACGGGAGGCAGCAGUAGGGAAUCUUCCGCAAUGGGCGAAAGCCUGACGGAGCAACGCCGCGUGAGUGAUGAAGGUCUUCGGAUCGUAAAACUCUGUUAUUAGGGAAGAACAUAUGUGUAAGUAACUGUGCACAUCUUGACGGUACCUAAUCAGAAAGCCACGGCUAACUACGUG